Molecule: RNase P RNA, 372 nt
Filed under: Chloroflexota bacterium
Lineage: Bacteria; Bacillati; Chloroflexota
Description: RNase P RNA component class A
Rfam family: Bacterial RNase P class A
About the family: Ribonuclease P (RNase P) is a ubiquitous endoribonuclease, found in archaea, bacteria and eukarya as well as chloroplasts and mitochondria.
Source: RNAcentral
UGAGGAGAACGGGCGGUCGCCGCUUAUGCUAUCAGAAUUUCUUAUAUACAUAAGGUGAGGAAAGUCCGAGCACCAUUGGAUAGAGUGCCUGUUAACGGCAGGACGAGGUAACUCGAUGGAAAGUGCAACAGAAAAUAUACCGCCUACAUUAUGCUAGGUAAGGUUGAAAUGGCGAGGUAAGAGCUCACCAGCUAAUUGGUAACAUUUGGCGUAUGGUAAACCCCACUCGGUGCAAGACCAAAUAGGGAAACAAUAAUCGAAUCCACGUAGUUUUCGGGUUGGUUGCUUGACCUUGUAAGUGAUUACAAGGCUAGAUAGAUGACCGUUAAUCUUUUAAAGAUACAGAACUCGGCUUACAGUUCUCCUCUUACA